UACGUAGGGUGCAGGCGUUAAUCGGAAUUACUGGGCGUAAAGCGUGCGUAGGCGGUUUGUUAAGACAGGUGUGAAAUCCCCGGGCUUAACCUGGGAACUGCGCUUGUUACUGGCAGACUUGAGUGUGGCAGAGGGGGGUGGAAUUCCAGGUGUAGCAGUGAAAUGCGUAGAUAUCUGGAGGAACACCCGUAGCGAAGGCGGUUCUCUGGGCCAAUACUGACGCUGAGGAGCGAAAGCGUGGGGAGCAAACAGG
Molecule: ribosomal RNA, 253 nt
Filed under: uncultured bacterium
Lineage: Bacteria
Description: partial 16S ribosomal RNA
Rfam family: Bacterial small subunit ribosomal RNA
Source: RNAcentral